GAUUUGCUCCCUGGCAUUUCACUUCCGACUUUCUCAUCCGGCAAGCCUACCGCUUAUAUCUCUAAAAUAAGCAUGUCCUACCGUAACAAUGAUAGUAGAAUUUAUGUUGGAAAUUUGCCCCCUGACAUCAGGAGCAAAGACUUGGAUGAUUUGUUUUACAAAUAUGGCAAAAUUAUGUAUAUCGACUUAAAGAAUCGCCGCGGUCCGCCAUUUGCUUUCGUCGAAUUUGAAGAUCCACGUGACGCUGAUGAUGCAGUUCGUGGACGGGAUGGAUAUAAUUAUGAUGGAUACACUUUACGAGUAGAAUUUCCUAAGGAUUCCAACAGAGGAUCUCGUUCUCUGUAUCGUGGACGAGGAGGCGGUGGCGGUUACAGAGGGGGAGGAAGAAGAGGUGGACGAGGAGGCGGAAUGCGUCGACCAGAAAAUAGAGUUUUGGUAACCAAUCUACCUCCUUCAGGUUCGUGGCAAGAUCUGAAGGAUCAUAUGCGCGAAGCAGGAGAUAUUUGCUUUGCGGAUGUUUAUAAAGAUGGCACAGGAAUCGUUGAAUUUCUCCAUCAUGACGAUAUGAAGUAUGCUAUUCGUAAAUUGGAUGAUACGAAGUUUAGGAGCCACGAGAAUGAAACAGCUUACAUUCGUGUGAAAGAAGAUGCUGGUAGACGAGAUCGGUCAAGAUCGAGAUCAAGAAGCCAUAGCUUUGAAAAGAGAGAUCGAAGAAGUCCUAGCUACUCCCCGAUGAGAAGGAGCCGUUCUCUAUCUCCAGGUCGAUGAACCCUGGUUGUUCUUUUUUUUUCUUGUAGCCUGUUAUAAGUAAAAACGGCUAUUUUUAUAAAGAUAGUUUAAAGGUAAAAAAAAAUAUUUUUCACGCAGGAUUAUUUGAUCAAUCAUUUUGAAUUUCGAAAAUAAAAUGUGAUUUUUAGUAGGUGUACUAAAUAUAAGACGCAUCCAUAAUGUUAAUAGAAUUACUCUCUAAAGCGAUCUAUAUAACUUUUUUUGUUUCCAGAAUAGACCUAAAGUUUACCAAAGCAUUGAUUAAAUAUAUUCUAUUGCAUAGGUGUAUGAAGUGAACACUUUGUUGAUAAAUUAAAUGUAACUUUUGUUAUGUGCGAAUAAAGUGUUAUUUCGGGAAAGAAACCAAUGCAAAACUAAAAUUCAGUAGUUAUCAAAUUACUUGCUUUUUUGUAAUAUUAAAACUUAACGUAUGAGUAAACUCAUAACUUUAAAGCACUGAAAUUUUUUUUUAAACGUAACAUUAAUCAAAUUAAAGUUUUGAGCAAGUUUUAUUUUGUUGUGCAGUUGAUAUACUAUUAUGAUUCACUAAAAUUAACAAAGUAGUUUUCAUUGUGUUUAUUAUAUAUUAUACUAUACUAUUUUAUACGAUCAGUUUUAUUUGAAGGAAAUAACAUACUACUAAAAAGCUGGCCGAACAUAAAGUUCUUAUAAUUUAAGCAUAAAAGUUUACUUUCAGUCGACUUAUUUUUUUUUUCGUAAGAAUAAACAUGUGUUUGAUUUCAACAGGUAACCUCCUUUAUUCUUAAAAACCCGUAAAAAUUACCGGAUCUAAACUACCGGAUCCAUAGAGCGCCAAUGCCAAUCUAAAGCGUUAAAAAUCGAGCAUCUGAAAAAAGUAACCGUUUGAGAGACAUAGACCGAGAGUGGAUAGAUAAGAUGCUUACCAAUUGCGGGAGUAUUUUCUCCACAUGUUCUGGCAUCACUUUAUCCUGUGAUUCAAUCUGAAAAACCACACAAAAUCUCGAUUAGGUAGCUCACCCGAGAGCAUUUGAGAAUCCUUAGGAGCUUUUGGUACAUUUAGCUUAUCAUGACAUCGCUUAGAACUUUCUAGAAGCUGAACUUACCUGGGCGCGCUUUGCGGCUCUGACGACGAGCUCUGGAAAAUGAAGCUUGAAUGUAAGUUUGUUGUGAUAAAUUUAGGCGAUAUAUCGCGUAUUUUUUAACAUAUAACAACUAGUUGACGCGAUAUAUCAUGAUAACAUUGAUUGAUUCACAUUUAAAGCAGCCGAAUAAGAUUCAAAGCCAUUCAAAACUUGAUUGCAUACGAUGACUAGUACCCGUAGCCCACUCGUAUUGAUAUAUAAGGCCUACAGAAAUGAGAAGCCUAUACCCCAAGGACCAACCCUUGCUUUUCCAUCCACAACCCAACGCGAGAUUGAGUUUGUGUGUCUUGACUAGGGAACGCUACGGAUCACUUGUAAAUAUUUUUCCUUCAGUAGAUUUCAGGUUAUAGAUAAUCCAACUGCUCAACUAUUACGAAAUCGGAGCCACUACUAUCUUUCGUUAGUUGAGAGAAAAUUAUUAAUAUUUUCUUCAAAUUGUCAUCGAAGAGUUCGCUAACCCUCUCGUGACCAAUUUGUGUUGGUUUUGUUAUGUGUAACGUUACAUGAAUUUUUCAAAUACAUUUCACAAGAACCUAAAAAACUGAAUGUGUUUUCGAAUGUCCUACCUUCAAUAAAGCAUCCAAAAAGCUCAGUAGCCAACUGUGCAGCAUUGUUCUUCACUAAUUAAUCGUAAAAUUAAUAAAUGAGAAACAAGUAAAAAAAUUUAUCUAACUUUUGGUAUUAUCGCUCUUGAAGUUUAACUGAAGAGUUUUUCGGACUGUUUCCUAAAGAUAAAAUUGAGUCAGAAAUAAGUAAAAUUUACUUAUAAGCAUUAAUUUGUUACUGGUUUUAAAAAAGAAGCAGCAGAGCUUUCAUCGCAAUCUUUGCCGCUAUCCGCCAUAACUGAUGAAACUUUCACCAAUUUUGAAAACUGGUUGAAUUUAAAAUCUUGGGAGAAAAUAUUAACAAAUAAUAAAGUCAAGUUCGUUAAGUUCAUAUUGAAUGUAUUUG
Molecule: unclassified non-coding RNA, 2843 nt
Filed under: Dimorphilus gyrociliatus
Lineage: Eukaryota; Metazoa; Annelida; Polychaeta; Dinophilidae
Description: dgyrCDS3476
Source: RNAcentral